Molecule: ribosomal RNA, 894 nt
Filed under: uncultured Bacteroidota bacterium
Lineage: Bacteria; Pseudomonadati; Bacteroidota
Description: bacterial SSU rRNA
Rfam family: Bacterial small subunit ribosomal RNA
Source: RNAcentral
GGAUCCAGACUUUGAUCAUGGCUCAGGAUGAACGCUAGCUACAGGCUUAACACAUGCAAGUCGAGGGGCAGCGGGAUUGAAGCUUGCUUCAAUUGCCGGCGACCGGCGCACGGGUGAGUAACGCGUAUCCAACCUUCCGUACACUCAGGGAUAGCCUUUCGAAAGAAAGACUAAUACCUGAUGGUAUGAUGAGAUUGCAUGAUAGCAUCAUUAAAGAUUUAUCGGUGUACGAUGGGGAUGCGUUCCAUUAGGUAGUAGGCGGGGUAACGGCCCACCUAGCCAACGAUGGAUAGGGGUUCUGAGAGGAAGGUCCCCCACAUUGGAACUGAGACACGGUCCAAACUCCUACGGGAGGCAGCAGUGAGGAAUAUUGGUCAAUGGACGAGAGUCUGAACCAGCCAAGUAGCGUGAAGGAUGAAGGUCCUACGGAUUGUAAACUUCUUUUAUAAGGGAAUAAACCCUCCCACGUGUGGGAGCUUGUAUGUACCUUAUGAAUAAGCAUCGGCUAACUCCGUGCCAGCAGCCGCGGUAAUACGGAGGAUGCGAGCGUUAUCCGGAUUUAUUGGGUUUAAAGGGAGCGCAGACGGGUCGUUAAGUCAGCUGUGAAGGUUUGGGGCUCAACCUUAAAAUUGCAGUUGAUACUGGCGUCCUUGAGUGCGGUUGAGGUGUGCGGAAUUCGUGGUGUAGCGGUGAAAUGCUUAGAUAUCACGAAGAACUCCGAUUGCGAAGGCAGCACACUAAUCCGUAACUGACGUUCAUGCUCGAAAGUGUGGGUAUCAAACAGGAUUAGAUACCCUGGUAGUCCACACGGUAAACGAUGGGUACUCGCUGUUGGCGAUAUACUGUCAGCGGCUUAGCGAAAGCGUUAAGUAUCCCACCUGGGGAGUACGCCGC